Molecule: ribosomal RNA, 308 nt
Filed under: uncultured bacterium
Lineage: Bacteria
Description: partial 16S ribosomal RNA
Rfam family: Bacterial small subunit ribosomal RNA
Source: RNAcentral
GAGACAGCAGUCGCCGCGGUAAUACAGAGGGUGCGAGCGUUAAUCGGAUUUACUGGGCGUAAAGCGUGCGUAGGCGGCUUCUUAAGUCGGAUGUGAAAUCCCUGAGCUUAACUUAGGAAUUGCAUUCGAUACUGGGAAGCUAGAGUAUGGGAGAGGAUGGUAGAAUUCCAGGUGUAGCGGUGAAAUGCGUAGAGAUCUGGAGGAAUACCGAUGGCGAAGGCAGCCAUCUGGCCUAAUACUGACGCUGAGGUACGAAAGCAUGGGGAGCAAACAGGAUUAGAUACCCCCGUAGUCCCUGUCUCUUAUAA